Molecule: ribosomal RNA, 507 nt
Filed under: uncultured bacterium
Lineage: Bacteria
Description: bacterial SSU rRNA
Rfam family: Bacterial small subunit ribosomal RNA
Source: RNAcentral
AGAGUUUGAUCCUGGCUCAGGACGAACGCUGGCGGCGCGCUUAACACAUGCAAGUCGAGCGAGAACCAGGGCUUCGGCCCUGGGGAAAGCGGCGAACGGGUGAGUAACACGUGAGUAAUCCACCCUCGGUACCGGGAUAGCCCGGGGAAACCCGGAUUAAUACCGGAUGGCCCGGCAGCCUCUUGGGGCAGCCGGAAAAGGUAGCUUCGGCCUCCGACCGAGGACGAGCUCGCGGCGGAUUAGCUUGUUGGUGGGGUAACGGCCUACCAAGGCGACGAUCCGUAGCUGGUCUGAGAGGACGAUCAGCCACACUGGGACUGAGACACGGCCCAGACUCCUACGGGAGGCAGCAGUUAGGAAUAUUCCACAAUGGGCGAAAGCCUGAUGGAGCAACGCCGCGUGGAGGAUGAAGGCCCUCGGGUCGUAAACUUCUUUUCUAUGCGAAGAAUAUGACGGUAACAUAGGAAUAAGGGUCUGCUAACUACGUGCCAGCAGCCGCGGUAAUUC